RNAcentral lists this ribosomal RNA (1170 nucleotides) under Triticum aestivum (bread wheat). RNAcentral's name for it is "partial small subunit ribosomal RNA". Lineage: Eukaryota; Viridiplantae; Streptophyta; Magnoliopsida; Poales; Poaceae. The record is from RNAcentral.
AUGUUGCUGUUGCCUUGCCCUUCGUGCUGGUCCGCCGCUCCGCAAGCUGCUCCAGCUCUGCUGCCCGGCCUGUGCCCGCGCGUCCUCGCGCUACCGCAUCGCUGCAAGUCGUCCCCGGCCCUAUCCAUAUCCAGUGGUUGGGCCGGCCUCCUCCAGCCGCUCCUCCCCGCCGGAGCUGCGCCGUCCGCUCGUGCCCGAGCUCCUCCCCAUUGCCUCGUCCCCAGGUGGCCCUACAUCAUGCGCCCCUGGCCGUGCCUGCGCUGCUGCGCCGUCUUCCCCCACAAGCACGGCCACGUCCGACUCCCCGACGACGCCCCGCACCUGCCCAAGCACUCGGCUGCUCCAUCCCUGCGCCGUCUGGAUGCACGGGACGUCACGCGCGCCCGCAUUCGGCCUCGCCGGGCUCGCCGGCAUCCGCACCCCUGGGCGUCUGGCCACCUCCCCGCACUGGCCCCGCGCCGCCUCCCUGGGACCUUCGUGCCGGCUCUGCCUUCUCGCCUAGCCAGCCCCGAGCGUCUGGCUCCUCCCCUCUGGGUCCUCCAUGCCGGCUCGCUUGCUCAGCCCCGACAAGCUCCCCCAACCCGGCCGCCUCUGCUGUCGGCCUCCGCGACCGGCUCUGACCGCUUGCCGUCUCCACCCCGAGCCGAACGGCUAGUUCCACAUCUUGCCGGCUCCGCCACCUGCCGGAUUCGCCCACCACCCAGCCGCCCUGGUCGGCCGCCGGCUCCCCGCUCGCUUGCUGCUGGUUCCCACAUCUGGCUGUCCAAGGCUGGCCGGAGAAGAAAAGAAAAGGGGUCAGCUGCCCCACGCGAGGGAAAGAGGAAAAGUCAAGCUGGCUGCUCCCCACGAGAAAAAGAAGAAGAAGAAGAAGAAAGAGGGUCCGGUUGCCUGCGUGGAGUCAGACUGAAAAAAAGGAAAAAAAAGAGAGGGACGUGCGUCCGGCUGCCCACAGCCAGCUCACAAGAAAAAGAAAGCGUCCGGCUACCAACAGCCAUUGAAAAAGAGAUCUGCUUCCGGCUGCCCACAGCCGGACAAAGAGAAGAAAAGAAAAAGCGUCCGUCUGUCCGUCCGCCUGCUUCGCCACUCGGACGGCUAGACGUGACCCAGCCUGCCUGCCCGCUUCAAUGUCUGGCCGGCAAGAGCGCCGGCACGGCUGCCUAUUUGCCUUGA